CGCUUGAAUAUCUGUAAAUUGAAUCGAUCAAAGUUGACCCUGUAUUGUCUCGCCUAAAUCGAAUUGAAUCAGUCAACAAGAGAUAUACAACCUCUCAUCAGUCAUCUCUCAAAGAACCAUCCCUAUAUGUGAUGCCAUUUCUUCUCUCGAAGGCAACAAUAUACAAGAAUCUACUUUGUUCAUCGCCUCUCACUACCAAGAAAAAACUGAUUGAAUGAUGGUGAUUGUGGCUAAAAAUAGUUAAAUCGGCUUCAAAACCAUCUACAGCCACUCGCUGCUAUAUUCACCACCAUCUACAGCCACUCGCCACCAACCAACCUCGGUCACCACUAUACGAGAUUAAGAUCUCUCUCUCUCUCUCUCUCUCUCUCUCUCUCUCUCUCUCUCUCUCUCAAGCCAUACGGAUCUCAGGCCGUCAUCUUCCCUGCUUCAUCACCACUAUCACCUUAUUCCUCUCUUAGAAAACCUAAGGAUCUAUGCACCACCGCCACCUUAUCCUUAAAACCGGUGUUGAUUCCUCGAAGAUUUGAAGGCAGAUUAGUCAGGUGGGUUGAUCUGAAUCUACGUUUGAAGAUCAUGAAAAGUUGGUUUCAAGUUCAAUGCAAGUGUAAUUUGCCUUUCGUCAACCAACCUCACGCAAAACGAUCCCACCUGUAUGAGUACGCUCAUGAAGAAAUCUAGCAAGUUUUGGGGCUGAUGUAUGAUAUAUCCUAUAUUCAAUUUGGUUCUCAGGUUAUGUUUUUUCUCAUUAUCGAUGGGAAAAUUAAAGAAGAUUUGUCUUUAUCUGUUGUAACUUGUAAGUUUGAUGUGCCUCUGAUUCAUUUAUUUUAGCCUUUGCCACAUGUUUUAUUUUAGUUUUUUUCCAGGUUUUGAAGGUACACAAAUGAAGUUUUGUAUCAGUUAGAUUGGCCUUCUAAUUUCUUCUAUGGCGAGAGUAUUGUUGAUUUCUUACCAAAACUAUGACAUAUAUGCUAUUUCAAAAAUAUAUGUUGUAUUGAUUUUUGGGUUGGAUGGUCAGAUCUACCUAGAUCUAUACAUAGCAUAUGAUACCAAUAACUUUUGAUUAAAUCUUGUGUUUUUUAUCCGAUAAUCAUAUUUUUGAUUUUGUGCAGGUUGUUUGGUUAUGGGUUUGAAUUUAUGGAUUUGGGUAUAAGAACAUGUUAAUGUUUCAGUAUUAUUUGGUUAUUGACUGUCUGAUAGAGUAAAAGUUGAACUCUUUUGUUGUAUUAUUAUAAAUUUACUUUUAAAUUUUCAGGUGAGGUGUUUGUAUAAAUCUGAAUCAAUUAAAAGCUCUUUGAAUCUUCAAGUUUCAGAAGGCUAAAAUGGUACCCAUCAAAAAGUUUUGGCAGAAAUGAGUUUCUUACUACUUGGAAGAAAAAGGGAAAUGGAGAUAGAUGGUCGUUACCAUUGAUGCUUUUCUAACAGAUGUACAAAGAAAAUGCAUGAAUCUGAUUUUCAAAUCUGAAUUGAAUCUGAUUUUUUUUUUUAAAUUUGAAUACAUGUAUGUGUGCGUGUGAUUUUAAGAAAAAAGUUAUCAACUAUUUCCAUAUAA
Non-coding RNA from Lactuca sativa (garden lettuce), 1552 nucleotides. Lineage: Eukaryota; Viridiplantae; Streptophyta; Magnoliopsida; Asterales; Asteraceae. The record is from RefSeq and is a predicted model, not a curated record.